GUUUUAAGUAGCUUAAGUGAAAGCAUCGGUCUUGUAAAUCGAAGAUAAUAAUAUUAUUCUAAAACU
This 66-nucleotide transfer RNA is filed under the name Branchiostoma lanceolatum (amphioxus). Its description in RNAcentral is "tRNA-Thr". It matches the Rfam family "tRNA". Rfam says of the family: Transfer RNA (tRNA) molecules are approximately 80 nucleotides in length. The record is from RNAcentral. Lineage: Eukaryota; Metazoa; Chordata; Leptocardii; Amphioxiformes; Branchiostomatidae.